Long non-coding RNA from Alligator sinensis (Chinese alligator), 333 nucleotides. RefSeq lists it as uncharacterized. NCBI's taxonomy places the organism in Eukaryota, Metazoa, Chordata, Crocodylia, Alligatoridae. The record is from RefSeq and is a predicted model, not a curated record. The transcript is spliced from 3 exons.
CCCUGAGUGCCCAUGGAGGGAGUAAAUAGAGCCUUUUGCAAGAAAGUCACAGGGAUUUGACCCUUCUCCAGUCUUUAGCUGGCAUCAAGGCAAAGGUGGGCAUGUACAAAGCCAUUCUGAUUUGCAAAGGUGGUGAGACUUUGGGACUGAUGAAUAAAUGCUUCUGGCUCUUAGGCAAGGAUAUGUUUACCUUGACCCCAUAUCACUCUGAAGACCACUACUGAAAAAUUAAACCCUGCUUCUGCACUAUGUACCCCAAAUCCAGAACAUAGGAUACUCCAAGGUGCUGCCACCACCCCGCUGAGAUCUAUGUCGCUUCUGAGUGGUGGUAGA